UGUUUUCCUUCAUAAAUAUGGUGUUAUUGUCUAAGAAAAAUAUACCAGAAAAAGGAAAAGCUUGCUCUGAGGCUGUUAUUGUCUUACCAUAGUAGGUGGUUAAACAUUGAGAACACCACACCACACACACGAGAAUUUACACAUGGAGCGUACACAAAGUACACACAUACACACCCAUCACUCGCUAGCAUGCAGUGAGCAGACCGGGAUAAGAAAAGAAAGUUACAAGCACUAGUAGACAGUAGUACGAAGCUCAAGACAAACCACAUGCAGCCUCGGACGGCAACGUACGCUAUGCAGGAUUAGAUAACCAAAAGAGCAGCAAACAUGGCGGCGUCGCAGAAGUUGUUGAGCACCCUCUCUUCUUCUUCGGCCGACGGCUCUUAUUUAGCGGUGGUUGCUCCUGGUCCUGGUCUCGUCGCUGUAAAGCCUGGACAUGGAACGUACGUGGCAGCGUUAUUUUUUUCCCCAUGUUUUAACUAUUUGCCAUGUUCACCCGUUUCAAGUUCCCAGUAGAUCGUGUUAUUAACACUGAUAUUAUAUUGUGAGAUAGAUCAUGAGCCAGCGUACCAGUCGUAGACGGUGGGGGAGUUGGGCUGCGGGCGGUCGAAGAGGUUGGCGCCGAGGCUUUUGGUGGCCAGGUUGCUCCCGGGGUGGAAAACGCUCCGCCACACGCUGCCGCCGCGCGGGGGCGUCGACGACGACGGCGUCACCGGCGUGGUCGGGGUCGUCGGCAUCGACGGCGACUGCUUAAUCGCCUCCCCUGCAGCUGCACCUCCACCAACACCCAUGUAAACCACCAUCAGUUCACACAAUGAACCCAAUAGAUCCUCCGCUUAAACAUCAAAUCUUCUUCUGAAAACCACUGGUGCUAGACUGACCGCUAGUUCUUACGUUCUUCCAGUUUCAGGCCAUGUCGGUACCUCUGUGCUAACGUAUGUAAACUGUACCUG
RNAcentral lists this long non-coding RNA (953 nucleotides) under Triticum aestivum (bread wheat). RNAcentral's name for it is "long non-coding RNA (TAES_LNC002806)". The record is from RNAcentral. Lineage: Eukaryota; Viridiplantae; Streptophyta; Magnoliopsida; Poales; Poaceae.